Long non-coding RNA from Chenopodium quinoa (quinoa), 1022 nucleotides. RefSeq lists it as uncharacterized. Lineage: Eukaryota; Viridiplantae; Streptophyta; Magnoliopsida; Caryophyllales; Amaranthaceae. The transcript is spliced from 2 exons. The record is from RefSeq and is a predicted model, not a curated record.
AUCUCAACUCCUUGCACUACAUUCACUAGAGUGCAAGGAAGAAAAAGAACAAAAACAGGAGGGUGAACUUUAGGGUGUUACAAGCACUCUUCCAAGAAUUUAGAGAUUUGAAAUGCAUGGAUGAAUUUUUUACUCCUAUUGAAUAAACAUACAAAUUCACUCAUAAUACUACUCCCUACGCCUUAUUUUAUGUGCCCCAAUUGACUUAAAAAAAACUCACCCAUUAAAUAAUUAAUUAAUUAUUACUUGUCAUUACUCCGUAUAAUCAUAAUAAUGAACAUACAUUAACAUAGACUCCAUGCUAUUAUAAGUUCAAUAAACUAACUCACAAUAACGCCCAUUAUCUAAUAAUCCUAACUAUUGGGUAUGUUUGCCAAGAGUAGUCCCAAUUGACUGCGAACCGGUUAAACAAGUUAAUUUUUUUUUUCUUUUUUUUAAUUAAUGAUGAUGUAGCAUUGUUGACGUGGACAAAAACUUAGGUUGACUUGUCUUAUUUCCUUUCUCUCCCAAAAUUUUUGCCACGUCACCCUCUUUCUCACCCAUUCAACUACUCUCUGCAAAAUAAUUAAGCCCGCCAUAAUUGCUUCCUCUCUUCCAUUAUAUCAUCUCAACCAUAAUUUACUUUCCAAAAUUGGUAAAAUUUCUCAACAAUUGGGUUUCCAUUUGUGGGAAAAAAGGAGCGACGGUGACCCAACUAGUUGAAGAUGCAUUGAAGCACAGACGAAGCAAAAUUGUGGUGACCAGGUAAGGGGUAAAUCUAGAAGAGAGCUAGUAGGGGCAGCAACCACAAUGAGGAGCAUCAGCAAAGCAUUGAACUAACAAAACUUGAAUUACAUCAUUGGUGGUCAAUCAAGUCAGCAAUCAACCCUCCACAACCCAACUCAGUAGUACUUCAACACUUUGUGCAUGCAUAAAAUAAUUAUGUCCUUAAGUUGUCUAUGAAUUGUCUAUGAAUCUAGUAUGCAACUGUACUUCAUCAUGAAAACUUCUAUAGUGUAGCACCAGCUUGUUAAUUUGCUCGA